This 584-nucleotide ribosomal RNA is filed under the name Salmonella enterica. RNAcentral describes it as "bacterial SSU rRNA". It matches the Rfam family "Bacterial small subunit ribosomal RNA", at positions 938 to 1522 of the family's 1533-position model. Lineage: Bacteria; Pseudomonadati; Pseudomonadota; Gammaproteobacteria; Enterobacterales; Enterobacteriaceae. The record is from RNAcentral.
CAUGUGGUUUAAUUCGAUGCAACGCGAAGAACCUUACCUGGUCUUGACAUCCACAGAACUUUCCAGAGAUGGAUUGGUGCCUUCGGGAACUGUGAGACAGGUGCUGCAUGGCUGUCGUCAGCUCGUGUUGUGAAAUGUUGGGUUAAGUCCCGCAACGAGCGCAACCCUUAUCCUUUGUUGCCAGCGAUUAGGUCGGGAACUCAAAGGAGACUGCCAGUGAUAAACUGGAGGAAGGUGGGGAUGACGUCAAGUCAUCAUGGCCCUUACGACCAGGGCUACACACGUGCUACAAUGGCGCAUACAAAGAGAAGCGACCUCGCGAGAGCAAGCGGACCUCAUAAAGUGCGUCGUAGUCCGGAUUGGAGUCUGCAACUCGACUCCAUGAAGUCGGAAUCGCUAGUAAUCGUGGAUCAGAAUGCCACGGUGAAUACGUUCCCGGGCCUUGUACACACCGCCCGUCACACCAUGGGAGUGGGUUGCAAAAGAAGUAGGUAGCUUAACCUUCGGGAGGGCGCUUACCACUUUGUGAUUCAUGACUGGGGUGAAGUCGUAACAAGGUAACCGUAGGGGAACCUGCGGUUGGA